AACGAACGCUGGCGGCAUGCCUAACACAUGCAAGUCGAACGAGACCUUCGGGUCUAGUGUCUCACGGUUUCGUAACGCGUGGGAACCUGCACUUAGGGUCAGAAUAACUCCCCGAAUGGGGUGCUAUACCGAAUAAUGUCUUCGUACCAAAGAUUUAUCGACUUUGGAUGGGCCCGCGGUGGAUUAGCUAGUUGCUAGGGUAAAAGCAUACCAAGGCGACGAUCCAUAGCUGGUCUGAGAGGAUGAUCAGCCACACUGGGACUGAGCCACGGCCCAGACUCCUACGGGAGGCAGCAGUGGGGAAUAUUGGACCAUGGGCGAAAGCCUGAUCCAGCAAUGCCGCGUGAGCGCUGAAGGCAUUAGGGUUGUAAAGCUCUUUUAACCGGGAUGAUAAUGACAGUACCGGGAGAAUAAGCUACGGCUAACUACGUG
RNAcentral lists this ribosomal RNA (432 nucleotides) under uncultured bacterium. RNAcentral's name for it is "partial 16S ribosomal RNA". It matches the Rfam family "Bacterial small subunit ribosomal RNA", at positions 29 to 507 of the family's 1533-position model. The record is from RNAcentral.